GGGCAAUUGGUCUAGUGGUAUGAUUUCCCCUUAGCAGACGCGGACAUCCAUGUGUAACGUGUACGCCUGGGGAAGGUCCUGGGUUCAAUUCCCAGAUUGUCCA
Molecule: non-coding RNA, 103 nt
Organism: Venturia effusa
Lineage: Eukaryota; Fungi; Ascomycota; Dothideomycetes; Venturiales; Venturiaceae
Source: the annotation of a GenBank genome assembly